GCACGCGUUAUCCGGAUUCACUGGGUUUAAAGGGCGCGUAGGUGGGUUGGUAAGUCAGUGGUGAAAUCCCCGAGCUUAACUUGGGAACUGCCAUUGAUACUAUCAGUCUUGAAUACUGUGGAGGUUAGCGGAAUAUGUCAUGUAGCGGUGAAAUGCUUAGAUAUGACAUAGAACACCACUUGCGAAGGCAGCUGGCUACACAAUUAUUGACACUGAGGCUCGAAAGCGUGGGGAUCAAACAGG
Molecule: ribosomal RNA, 243 nt
Filed under: uncultured bacterium
Lineage: Bacteria
Description: partial 16S ribosomal RNA
Rfam family: Bacterial small subunit ribosomal RNA
Source: RNAcentral